Long non-coding RNA from Cyanistes caeruleus (blue tit), 1686 nucleotides. NCBI's taxonomy places the organism in Eukaryota, Metazoa, Chordata, Aves, Passeriformes, Paridae. The record is from Ensembl.
GUCUGAAGAGCUUAGCACACAUGCUGAAGGAUCAUUCUUCUCUCUCCUCACCAUUAUACAAGUAAUUGUAGGAUUAAAAAUCAAAAGAAUCUGUAAUAACAUCUAAGGCUCUUGCAUCUUGGUCUUUCAGACUUCAGAUAGAUUCAGCAGUGUAAAAGCGAUGCUGGAAUUCAGUCAAACUGCCUAUCUCAAGGAGUUCUGCCUGCUGGAUCCAACACAGCACUUUAGGUAUCAGUAGCAUGUCACCAUCUUUGCCACUGGAGACAUGACAAACCCAGCUCCCAGCUGGCAGCAGGCGUGCAAGGUACCCUGUCUGCUGCUGCACGAGCAUCCCAGCUAACAGUGCUGAGACAAGGAGAUCUCGCAGUCAUGGGACAGCUUCCAUCUGCAAAAGUCCUCCAGGGCAAUGUGGGAUCUCGUCAAUCAACUGAGAAAUAUAUGUUGCUUCGUUUCUCUAUUUUCACUUUUCAUUCCCUGCUUACAGGAAAGGAGGCCAUAAAAAACAAUGUUUUGGCUUAGACUGGAGAAAAAAAUUCCAGCACAAUCCCAUUUCGUCAAAGAGGAUUCAGUUCCUGUGCUCUGAAAACUCAUGCUUUUCUUGUAGAGCAGAACUGUGGAACAAUAUGGACAUCCUCCAUUGACCUUUACCUGUUCUCUAUCACAGUCCACUGUCAGAGCAGGUAACGUGGAGACAGAGCACCGAAUUGGCAGCAGUCCCACAAGCAAUGGUGAGAGGCAGAAAGCACAGGACAGAGGAUCCCAAAAGGAGGUCUACUUUUAAGAAGCUUCAUUAUGCUGCUACAUCUCAAAUAAGAGUAUUUGGGAGGGAUUGAAGUUGUACACAAUGAAUUAUUUCACAUUCUGAAACCACUCACUAAUUUAAGCCAGACACAUGAAAGCUUUAUGUAUCUUUUUAUGAGGCAUGCAUCUUGUCCAAAUUAUCUCUUUAUUACUCUCUCUAAGAAGUACAUGUAUGCAUCUCAGUGAAGAGCAUGUACAUAGCCAGCAAGAAUGGAUUAAAAAAAAAUAAUUUAGGAGGCUACUCUGUUCUUCAUGCAUAUGUCUCAAGACAAGGAAAGCAUUUAGCAUUUCCUGCAUCAUGUAUGUCCCAGGGUAAAAUAAUCAAGGUUUCACACACGCCCCUUCCUCAGCCUUUCGAAAGUGUGGUUAGUGAAUUCAGCACAAGAAAAUAUAGGAAGCCAAGGCAAUGGUUUCCUGAAGCAGAAUGAGAAAUGAGGAAGCUGCACACAGAGACACAGCCAAUGGAAAGCCCAAUAGGAAUUUUCAGCUCCUGCAUUUUCAAGUGUUCUCUUCUUGUUUAGGGGUGCUUUAUUAGUCAAUUGCUUCUCCUCAUUAACUUAUAGCUUGGCACUCAUUGCUCUGUAAACUGCCCUAACAGCCCCCAUGAGCACUGCUCUAGUGAAGGAUCUGGUUGUGUUUCCAUUAUAAACCUAGUUUCAGAGAUAUUUAUAACUCAGCUAUUUGAAUUUUCAUCAAGCUUUGGGGAACUUGGCUCACAGGUCAAAGAGUGAAACAAUUUUCAGCUUAUGAAUUUGAAAAGAAAAAAUUUUAGCCAAGAGCAGUUUCCAGCACAGAAAAUUUCAUCAUGAUUUAGAAGCUUCCAGGAUAAGAAAAUUUAUAUUAUCUCAUGCAGGAAUUAUGUAAUGUGAAUUAUAUAUGUUAAAU